UUAAUCGCCAUCCCGAUGGGCUCUCGAGCUCUGGUUCCAGCGGUGCCAGUACCAGCUGCACCUUUAGCUCAACCGCCUAGCCCAGCGGUGGAUGCUAAUGAUCCAGGAGCUAUGUUAGCGGGCUUACUUUGAUUCAACCUGGUAAGACAAACGCUUACAGUGGCACGAUGUGAAGAUCAUCGUUGAUAUGCAAGACAAUUGAAGACCCCAGCACUAGAAGAUCCCUUUUCGAGGUUCAAUUUGUUCCAAAAAACUUGCUUAUAUUCAUUUAAAAAAAUCAGCCUCAUAACAUUUACUAUGUAAAUUUCAGGUCCUACAACGGAUACUGAUGGGGACAGAUGUUGUUAAAAAUGUGAACAAGAACAAUGCGUCUCACGCUGUGCUCUUUGAAGCUCUAUCUUUGGUAAGAUUUCCAGGCAGAUAAUUAGCGCAAAGUUUAUGCCAUGAAAUUCAUUGAUGCAUUUUUCCUUUUUGCCCAUCUCCUUGGCAUGUCUCAACUCCUUUUUGCCAAGACAUCUGAACCCAAAACAGAAUGCUGACUAGUGCAUGGACGUUUUCCUUUUGAUUCUGUUUAUUAAGGAAAUAGCUAGUUUUAAAUAUUUGGUAAAUGAUUUACUUGCUUGUCUAUCUUCCGUUUACCUUCUUUUUGCUUUCCUUUUAAACAUACCCUAUCCUUCAUCGAUUCACUGCAAUUUUGCGUAAAAGUUUUUGUACUGUUUUGCUUAAACGUUUGGUACUAAUUGUUUAUCAUGAAUGUAUGAUUUUGAGUAUUUUAACCUGUUAAUAUGUUGUUCCGGUAUAGGUCAUGCAUCUCAAUGCUGAGAAGGAAAUGAUGUCACAGUGUGUUGCUCUCCUAGGAAAAUUUAUUUCUGUACGUGAGCCCAACAUCAGAUAUCUAGGCUUGGUGAGUUUUUAUAUACUGGUUUCCUGCUUGUAAAGCCGAGCUAGAACUCUGUGUACUGUUUGUGGUGGAUCAUCUAUUAGUUGGCCAUAAUGAUGCAUUUCCUGCAACACUGCAGGAGAAUAUGACACGAAUGCUGAUGAUCACAGAUGCCCAGGAUAUCAUAAAGAAGCACCAGCCUCAGAUAAUCACCUCUUUGAAGGACCCUGAUAUAAGGUUGAUUCUAUUUUCACUAUAUCAAUAUGAGCUAAUGGUUGUGAACCGAGGCUCUCGUCUCUGUUGGUCAAAUUUGCAGUUUGUUUAGCUAAUUCAAUCACGAACACUGGUUGUAGUUCAUAACUUCCGUGGAAUAGUGUCAAUCGAAAUUCAAUUCGAUUCGAUUUGGGUUGUAGAUAUGCAACUUAAAACUAAAUUGUGAAUUUGUUUCCCUAUAAUCUUCAGUAAAGCAAUAUCUUCUUGACAUAUACUCCUGGUAUCCUGUGUUAAAUAGUUAUUGGUAUAUUUAUUUAUGUUAGCAAUACUUAUUGCGUAGUAUAAGAACUAUUAGACAGUACACUUUGUAUGAUAUAAAUCAUCAUUGUGACCAUAUUGAGUGAAUACCAAACUUUAAACUUACGUUCGCAAUUGAAACUGUCUUCCGCAAUUUAUAGUUGUAAAUUUGUAAAGAGUUUUAAUAAUUAUAUAUGUACUUGUAUAUAUAUCUAUAAAGAGAGAGAGAUAUCCUACUUCCUUGUCAUUUGAUUCAAUACUUUUCCCAUGUUUGUUUCAUAUUUUUGUAUGCUGCUGACCAGGAUUGCUUUCCUGCAGUAUUCGGAGGCGAGCUCUUGAUCUGCUUUAUGGAAUGUGUGAUGUGUCAAAUGCAAAGGGUAUAGUCGAAGAGCUGUUACAGGUAAUUUUUGUUAAGAUUGAUAUUUCCUUUACCUAUGGUUUUCCUUUUGCGUGAGAUGUUUAAUAGAAGUUCAAUACGAAAAAAUAUAAUGCAGUAUCUUAGCACUGCUGAGUUCUCCAUGCGUGAGGAAUUAUCACUUAAAGCUGCUAUUCUCGCUGAGAAAUUUGCUCCUGAUCUAUCUUGGUAAGGAUUCAAUCUAAUAUGUAGAUCACUUUGAGAUGCACACAAUAACAUUAUGAUGCAUUAACCAAUCGUUAUGAUUCUCAACACGAUAAAUCUGAUCAAUCUUUUGCUACGGAACAUGAUUCCUGUGAUGUUGAUCAGGUAUGUAGAUGUGAUCCUUCAGUUGAUUGAUAACGCGGGAGAUUUUGUUAGUGAUGACAUUUGGUUUCGUGUGGUGCAAUUUGUUACAAAUAAUGAAGACCUGCAGGUAAUGAAGAUUUGUUACAAGAAAUCUGUUUUAUAUAUUCGUUUAGUGGCAUUCUUAACUUGCUUUAGAAUUUCUUCAAUGUGUCAGCCUUAUGCAGCAUCAAAAGUAAGAGAAUAUAUGGACAAGAUUGCGAUACAUGAGACAAUGGUGAAGGUUCGUAUGCCCUUAAAUUUUAGAAUUAGCUCUUUCUAUUGCAGAAUGUGGUAACUUGUGAUUCUUAUAUUCUCAUUUUCGUAAUGCUAGCUAAAUUGCAACGCACAGUUUCUACAUUUUCAAACUUUGAAACGAUUCUUUACCAUUUGAAUGGUAUGCGAAUUUCAGAGUUUAGAGUAAGUUAUAUUUCAAUACAUGUUUCAGGUCAGUGCUUAUAUUUUGGGGGAGUAUGGUCACCUUCUUGCUAGACGACCUGGAUGUAGUGCAAGAGAGCUCUUUGGCAUUUUACAUGAGAAGCUUCCCACUGUAUCGUAAGCAAAUCUAAACGAUGCAUGGUGUUUUUUCUUUCCUUUGGGUAAUUUUUAGUUGCUGUACCUUAGCCACCGUUGUCUUUUCUCAGGAGUCCAACCAUUCCUCUUCUUCUCUCGACAUAUGCAAAGCUUCUUAUGCACGCUCAACCUCCAGACAUAGAAUUGCAAAAGCAGAUUUGGAAUGUAUUUAAGAAGUGAGAGUUCCGAACCUUGUUAUUCAUCCCAGGAGUUCUGCUUGUCAUGUUAUAUGCUCUACUUUUCUUAUUAAAGUUUUAUGUUGGCAGAUAUGAGAGUAGUAUUGAUGUGGAGAUACAACAGCGAGCAGUUGAAUAUUUUGAAUUGAGUAAAAAAGGGGCUGCCUUGAUGGAUGUAUUGGCCGAGAUGCCAAAAUUUCCUGAGCGCCAGGUUUGUUGUUUUGUUUCCUGGUGUUUAAACAGCUUAUCUGGUAAUUUUUUUUUAGGCUUUCAAUAAUGGAUGAUGUGAUGUUGAAAAUUUUCGCCUUUCCAUAGUCCUCAUUGAUAAAAAAGGUGGAAGAUGUUGAAGAUACUGCAGACCAGAGUGCGAUCAAGCUUAGAGCGCAACAGCUACCUUCAAAUGCUUUGGUUUUGGCUGACCCACAGCCUGUUAAUGGGACACCCCCGCCUUUGAAGGUUCCAAGCAUAAGUGGAAUCAAAGUGGGUAUUUCCUCCAAUUGGGUCCAAAUAAAGGAGACAUUUUUUCACCACAUAUCUUCUGACGGUCCCUUUAUCUUUGUUGUGUAUGUAGCUGGACCACGAGUCAGCAUCCCAGACUCAAUCUCAGCCAAAUGGCGAUUUGAGUAAAGUACAGUCACAAAUUCCAUCAGCAGAUCUCCUUGGCGAGAUGGUCGAUCCUCUGGCAAUAGAGGCUCCGCCGGUAGACAUGGGGAGCCACCAACGUGUUUACAGAGAGGAGGACGGAAUUCCAGAUGAAGUUGAUGGCACAGCCAUCGUACCUAUUGGUGACCAAGCAAACAAGGUUGAGGUAUGUUUAGCUCUUUCCUUUACUCUCUUUGGCAUUGUAGGGGAUAAACAUUGAUGAAAUGCUAUAUCUAAACAACUUUAGUUAAUUGUUUCAACUUUCUAAAGUCAGUCAUUUUCUGUAUCAGUCAUUUGCCUUGUAAGUGACUUGCGUUUUAAUCUCAGUUCAGCAUAACUGAUAGGUUGUUAUCCUACAUUCUGAAGAGCGGGCACAUAACUGACUUGUCAUAUCUAACAUAGUAUCCAUUUACCUUUUAUGUACAUCUAAUUGUUUUUUGCAAUCAUACUCUCCAUUUAGAUCCUUGUUAUUGUUUUCUUAUUUGUUUUUCUUUUCUUAAACAGCCGAUUGGAAAUAUCACCGAGAGAUUCAAUGCUUUAUGUUUGAAAGAUAGUGGUGUCUUAUAUGAGGAUCCUUAUAUUCAGGUUUGAUUUCUUCUUUUGUCAACUCCUUUCUCUUUGUAUUUGGUUAUCUGUUUCACAUAUGGCGAACUUUUACUUUUUGUGGUCUACUUUGAAUGGUGAAGAUCACAAUACUCUAUUUUAAUUCAUGGUUACAAUGAUCUAACAUUCUAAAAAAUGUUGGUACUCUCUCAGAUUGGUGUGAAAGCUGAAUGGCGAGGACACCAUGGAAGACUUGUCCUCUUCUUGGGAAAUAAAGUUACUUCUCCACUUACGUCUGUUCAAGCUCUAAUACUACCCCCUGCUCAUUUAAAACUGGAACUGUCUCUUGUACCUGAUACCAUUCCUCCUCGAGCACAGGUACUUAUAUAUACACACAUAUAUAUAUAGGUUAAACUGAUCCUAAUAUUUUUCUAUCAAUUUUUAUGUUACCUGUUUCUUAUGGUCUUAGGUACAAUGUCCACUCGAAGUGAUGAACAUCCGUCCUAGCAGGGAUGUUGCGGUUUUGGAUUUCUCCUACAAGUUUGGUACAAGCAUGGUAGUUACUGAAUCAUUGGAUAAGACGAUAUGAUAGCUUGUUUACAGACAGGGUUUCUUGUUCGCCUCUCUCUGACUUCUCGUCUCUCUUAUAGGUCAGUGCCAAAUUACGCCUCCCAGCAGUCUUGAAUAAGUUUCUUCAACCUCUACAGUUGACAUCUGAAGAGUUCUUCCCACAAUGGAGAUCACUUUCAGGACCACCAUUGAAACUUCAAGAAGUUGUAUGUAUUCCUGAAUGAAAUUCAUACGCUACUAAUGUCUCGUUUGCGUCAUUAAAUGAAACUGCAAUUUCCCGCAGGUUAGAGGUGUAAGACCUCUUUCUCUUUCGGAAAUGGAAAAUCUAUUCAACAGUUUCCGGGUGACGAUAUGCCCCGGGCUUGUAAGCAUCUCUUUUAAUAUAAUAUCUAUCUAAAAGUUUCCGGGUGAUCAUAUGCUGACCUUAAUAUAUAUAAUUACGUGGUCUGAUGUAGGAUCCCAACCCUAAUAAUCUAGUGGCAAGCACAACCUUCUACUCAGAAAACACAAGACCCAUGCUCUGUUUGGUGAGAUUUAGUAAUCGAAGUUCCAACCUGGGUGUUUCUUUCUCCAUCUCAACGUGUUCGUAUUUUUCUUCAAUCGCAGGCAAGGAUUGAAACAGACCCAGCGGACAGGACCCAACUGCGGUUGACUGUAGCCUCAGGAGAUUCAACCCUUACAUUUGAGUAUGAUAAUCGUCUCUUCCACUAACACAAUCAGCCCUAAACUUCAUGAUAAGAACACAACUCUUCCAUUCCAUGAUUGGCUGAUUUUACCUUCGUCUAUACAGGUUGAAAGAAUUCAUUAAAGAACAAUUAAUCGCCAUCCCGAUGGGCUCUCGAGCUCUGGUUCCAGCGGUGCCAGUACCAGCUGCACCUUUAGCUCAACCGCCUAGCCCAGCGGUGGAUGCUAAUGAUCCAGGAGCUAUGUUAGCGGGCUUACUUUGAUUCAACCUGGUAAGACAAACGCUUACAGUGGCACGAUGUGAAGAUCAUCGUUGAUAUGCAAAGAGUAAAAUCAGAAGAUGUGAGAGGGCUUGCAGAGGCAGAGUAAGAGUGAGCUUAGUUUUGAU
Molecule: long non-coding RNA, 5705 nt
Filed under: Brassica napus (rape)
Lineage: Eukaryota; Viridiplantae; Streptophyta; Magnoliopsida; Brassicales; Brassicaceae
Description: long non-coding RNA (BNAP_LNC003286)
Source: RNAcentral